RNAcentral lists this ribosomal RNA (301 nucleotides) under uncultured bacterium. RNAcentral's name for it is "partial 16S ribosomal RNA". It matches the Rfam family "Bacterial small subunit ribosomal RNA", at positions 509 to 808 of the family's 1533-position model. The record is from RNAcentral.
CAGCAGCCGCGGUAAUACGGAGGGUGCAAGCGUUAAUCGGAAUUACUGGGCGUAAAGCGCACGCAGGCGGUCUGUCAAGUCAGAUGUGAAAUCCCCGGGCUUAACCUGGGAACUGCAUUUGAAACUGGCAGGCUAGAGUCUUGUAGAGGGGGGUAGAAUUCCAGGUGUAGCGGUGAAAUGCGUAGAGAUCUGGAGGAAUACCGGUGGCGAAGGCGGCCCCCUGGACAAAGACUGACGCUCAGGUGCGAAAGCGUGGGGAGCAAACAGGAUUAGAGAUCCCGUGUAGUCCCUGUCUCUUAUA